CUCCGUGCCAGCAGCCGCGGUAAGACGGAGGAGGCAAGCGUUAUCCGGAAUUAUUGGGCGUAAAGCGUCCGCAGGUGGCGAUUCAAGUCUGCUGUCAAAGUCCAGGGCUCAACUCUGGGAAGGCAGUGGAAACUGGAUUGCUAGAGUACGGUAGGGGCAAAGGGAAUUCCCGGUGUAGCGGUGAAAUGCGUAGAUAUCGGGAAGAACACCAGUGGCGAAGGCGCUCUGCUGGGCCGUAACUGACACUCAUGGACGAAAGCUAGGGGAGCGAAAGGGAUUAGAUACCCCUGUAGUCCUAGCCGUAAACGAUGGAUACUAGGUGUUGCCCGUAUCGACCCGGGCAGUGCCGUAGCCAACGCG
RNAcentral lists this ribosomal RNA (360 nucleotides) under uncultured bacterium. Its description in RNAcentral is "bacterial SSU rRNA". It matches the Rfam family "Bacterial small subunit ribosomal RNA", at positions 501 to 859 of the family's 1533-position model. The record is from RNAcentral.